UGUUCCUCAGCUUCAGCUCUGCCGGCCGGCUCUGUAGCUUUGAACGUUCGCACACUUUUGUUUAUGAUUUGUUAAAGUAAUCAUGGACGCCGGCUUAAACCAAGCAGCGCCCGAGAAACGCGUUGUUUUAGCGUCGUUGUCCACUGGAAAGUUUUUUGAAAUCCCAGAGAAGGACAUUACAGGUCGGUGCCGAUUAGUUACAGACUUUGAAAAACUGAACAGAAUCGGAGAAGGCACAUAUGGGAUCGUCUAUAGGGCUCAGGACUUGAAGACUGGAGAAGUUGUUGCAAUGAAGAAAGUACGAAUGGAACAGGAAAAAGACGGCAUUCCUGUCAGCGGGUUGCGGGAGAUCAACCUCUUGCUUAAUAUUCAGCACCAAAACAUUGUCAACCUGAAAGAAGUUGCUGUUGGAAAAAGCUUGGAAAGUAUUUUUCUCGUGAUGGAGUACUGCGAGCAAGACCUGGCAAGCCUGCUAGACAACAUGCAAAGUCCAUUUUCCGAGUCACAGGUGAAGUGCAUCAUGAUGCAGCUAUUCAAAGGUCUUCAGUACCUGCAUAAGAAUUUCAUCGUUCACAGAGAUUUAAAAGUGUCAAACCUCCUCCUGACUGACAAGGGCUGCCUAAAAAUUGCUGAUUUUGGACUUGCAAGAAAGUAUGGUCUUCCUGUAAAGCCUAUGACACCACGUGUAGUCACACUUUGGUAUCGGGCACCAGAACUGCUGCUGCAAGCCAAGACCCAGACCACAGCCAUCGACAUAUGGGCUGCUGGCUGUGUCCUCGGGGAGCUGCUGUUACAUAAGCCCCUGCUACCAGGGCGCUCCGAGAUUCACCAACUGGAACUGAUCAUUGAUUUGCUGGGAACACCCAACGACAUGAUAUGGCCUGGCUAUUCGAAGCUGCCAGCACUGGAGAAUUUCACCCUUAAGCAACAGCCGUACAACAACCUGAAGCAUUUCUUCCCCUGGCUCUCACCAGCUGGCAUCCGCCUUUUGAAUUUUCUCUUUAUGUAUGACCCAAAGAAAAGAGCCACUGCAGAGGAGUCGCUCCAAAGUUCCUACUUCUCUGAACCUCCCUUGCCUUGUGAAGCAGAACUUAUGCCUUCGUUCCCACAGCAUCGGAACUUGAAACGGUCUUCAGUGGGGAACCUUUCAGAAGAAAUCGGCCUUGCAGCAACGACGGCAUCGUCAAACUCAGCAAGGCCUCGAGCCAGUUUCUCCAUCAGUCCCCACUUCUCUGCGAAUGCCCUCAUGACGAUCAACACACUAGCUGCAUCGGAUGCGGAAGCGCCAUCAUCUACGUCGUCAUCCAUGAUGACGAUGAUGUGGAAGUGCUAGAAGCUAUAGGAGCAAGAAACACGUCAUGGCUACCAUGUUUUGAUGUCACUAUCAGUGGCGACUGCAGUCUGGGAAAGAAAGAAGACGACAAAGCUCAUCUAGGAGUGUUGGUCUGUGGAACAUUCCCAGAAACUGCAAGCACAAAGGUUCAGCACAGAAUUUAAUUGUUUCUCAUCUCAACAACGUUCAUUAAAAAAAAAAAUCACCUCA
Molecule: RNA transcript, 1543 nt
Organism: Dermacentor albipictus
Lineage: Eukaryota; Metazoa; Arthropoda; Arachnida; Ixodida; Ixodidae
Gene: Cdc2rk
Gene name: cyclin-dependent kinase 10
Source: RefSeq, a predicted model, not a curated record